GAUGAACGCUGGCGGCGUGCCUAAUACAUGCAAGUCGAGCGAACAGAUGAGGAGCUUGCUCCUCUUACGUUAGCGGCGGACGGGUGAGUAACACGUGGAUAACCUACCUAUAAGACUGGGAUAACUUCGGGAAACCGGAGCUAAUACCGGAUAAUAUAUUGAACCACAUGGUUCAAUAGUGAAAGACGGUUUUGCUGUCACUUAUAGAUGGAUCCGCGUCGCAUUAGCUAGUUGUUAAGGUAACGGCUUACCAAGGCAACGAUGCGUAGCCGACUUGAGGGGUUGAUCGCCACAUCUGGACCUGGGAACGGGUCAAGACUCCUCCGGGGGGAAGAAGAAGGGAAUCUUCCGCAAUGGGCGAAAGCCUGACGGAGAAACGCCGGGUGAGGGAUGAAGGUCUCCGGAUCGUAAAACCCUGUUAUAGGGGAAGACCAAAUGUGUAAGUAAAUAUGCACGUAUUGACGGUACCUAAUCAGAAAGCCACGGCUAACUACGUG
This 497-nucleotide ribosomal RNA is filed under the name uncultured bacterium. Its description in RNAcentral is "partial 16S ribosomal RNA". It matches the Rfam family "Bacterial small subunit ribosomal RNA", at positions 28 to 507 of the family's 1533-position model. The record is from RNAcentral.